RNAcentral lists this ribosomal RNA (504 nucleotides) under uncultured bacterium. RNAcentral describes it as "partial 16S ribosomal RNA". It matches the Rfam family "Bacterial small subunit ribosomal RNA", at positions 28 to 507 of the family's 1533-position model. The record is from RNAcentral.
GACGAACGCUGGCGGCGUGCCUAAUACAUGCAAGUAGAACGCACAGUUUAUACCGUAGCUUGCUACACCAUAGACUGUGAGUUGCGAACGGGUGAGUAACGCGUAGGUAACCUGCCUGGUAGCGGGGAUAACUAUUGGAAACGAUAGCUAAUACCGCAUAAUAUUAAUUAUUGCAUGAUAAUUAAUUGAAGGGUGCAAUUGCACCACUACCAGAUGGACCUGCGUUGUAUUAGCUAGUAGGUGAGGUAACGGCUCACCUAGGCGACGAUACAUAGCCGACCCGAGAGGGUGAUCGGCCACACUGGGACUGAGACACGGCCCAGACUCCUACGGGAGGCAGCAGUAGGGAAUCUUCGGCAAUGGACGAAAGUCUGACCGAGCAACGCCGCGUGAGUGAAGAAGGGUUUCGGAUCGUAAAGCUCGGUUGUAAGAGAAGAACGGGUGUGAGAGUGGAAAGUUCACACUGUGACGGUAUCUUACCAGAAAGGGACGGCUAACUACGUG